ACCAGACGAUGCGGUUACCGCGGCUGCUGGCACGGAGUUAGCCGGUGCUUCUUCUGUGAGUGAUGUCCUUCCUGCCGGCUAUUAACCCGCAGGCCUUCUUCCUCACUGAAAGUGCUUUACAACCCGAAGGCCUUCUUCACACACGCGGCAUGGCUGGAUCAGGGUUGCCCCCAUUGUCCAAUAUUCCCCACUGCUGCCUCCCGUAGGAGUCUGGGCCGUGUCUCAGUCCCAGUGUGGCUGAUCAUCCUCUCAGACCAGCUACGGAUCGUCGCCUUGGUGAGCCGUUACAUCACCAACCAGCUAAUCCGACAUAGGCUCAUCCGAUAGCGCGAGGCCCGAAGGUCCCCCGCUUUCCCCCGUAGGGCGUAUGCGGUAUUAGCCUGGGUUUCCCCAGGUUAUCCCCCACUACCGGGCAGAUUCCUAUGCAUUACUCACCCGUCCGCCGCUCGCCACCAGGGAGCAAGCUCCCCGUGCUGCCGCUCGACUUGCAUGUGUUAGGCCUGCCGCCAGCGUUCAA
RNAcentral lists this ribosomal RNA (517 nucleotides) under uncultured bacterium. Its description in RNAcentral is "partial 16S ribosomal RNA". The record is from RNAcentral.